This 253-nucleotide ribosomal RNA is filed under the name uncultured bacterium. RNAcentral's name for it is "partial 16S ribosomal RNA". It matches the Rfam family "Bacterial small subunit ribosomal RNA", at positions 524 to 776 of the family's 1533-position model. The record is from RNAcentral.
UACGAACUGUGCAAACGUUAUUCGGAAUCACUGGGCUUAAAGGGUGCGUAGGCGGCUCGUUAGGUAGGGUGUGAAAGCCCCCGGCUCAACCGGGGAAUUGCGCCCUAAACCGGCGGGCUGGAGUGAGACAGGGGUGUGCGGAACUUCCGGUGGAGCGGUGAAAUGUGUUGAUAUCGGAAGGAACGCCGGUGGCGAAAGCGGCACACUGGGUCUCAACUGACGCUGAGGCACGAAAGCCAGGGGAGCAAACGGG